GACAGCAGUAGCCGCGGUAAUACAGAGGGUGCGAGCGUUAAUCGGAUUUACUGGGCGUAAAGCGUGCGUAGGCGGCUUCUUAAGUCGGAUGUGAAAUCCCUGAGCUUAACUUAGGAAUUGCAUUCGAUACUGGGAAGCUAGAGUAUGGGAGAGGAUGGUAGAAUUCCAGGUGUAGCGGUGAAAUGCGUAGAGAUCUGGAGGAAUACCGAUGGCGAAGGCAGCCAUCUGGCCUAAUACUGACGCUGAGGUACGAAAGCAUGGGGAGCAAACAGGAUUAGAUACCCGGGUAGUCCCUGUCUCUUAUAA
Molecule: ribosomal RNA, 306 nt
Filed under: uncultured bacterium
Lineage: Bacteria
Description: partial 16S ribosomal RNA
Rfam family: Bacterial small subunit ribosomal RNA
Source: RNAcentral